RNAcentral lists this unclassified non-coding RNA (601 nucleotides) under Limulus polyphemus (Atlantic horseshoe crab). RNAcentral's name for it is "uncharacterized LOC106473709, transcript variant X1". Lineage: Eukaryota; Metazoa; Arthropoda; Merostomata; Xiphosura; Limulidae. The record is from RNAcentral.
UGAAGGCCACUGAGAAAGUGGGUCUGUUAUAAACAACAGAGGCUGUUUCAAGAACAACAUAAUGGAGCCAGAACAAACCAGAUGAGAAAUAAAAAGAGUGCAGAGAUUAUAAAACAAAAACAACAACAAGUUUAUGCACAAAUAUUUCAGACAGUGGAAAGAAGCUACGGCUUAAAUCAAGCUCAGAAAUCUCAUUCAAAUAAUAUAUCAGGAACUAUGCACCAAAAAGACUCGAGAAACGAACAACAUGAACCUGACAAGACUUCUGUUCCUGACAUGUCUGCCCCGUCCUGGGUCCAUUUCACUCUAGACAGAAAAGCUUUGAUGAGCUGUUUUGAUUUCUAAAUCCCACAGGGAUAAUAAGAUUUAAUCCUAGCACUUGGAGAUUUUAAUGAAAUGUAUUAUUUCAGUUGGUUUACAUGAAUUUUGAUGUAAUUGGGCAGGACUGCUGAAUGGUAAUUAGAACUUUUGACGAGUUAUGAAGUUGUGAUGAAGAUUUAGAAAAUGCCUUUCUUCUGCUGUUGAAAUCUGAUAAAAACAAGAUAAAGUCAUAAAGUGUUACUAGAAGUAAUUUUUAUAUUUAGUCUUCUAACAAAAAAAA